Molecule: long non-coding RNA, 246 nt
Filed under: Lathyrus oleraceus (garden pea)
Lineage: Eukaryota; Viridiplantae; Streptophyta; Magnoliopsida; Fabales; Fabaceae
Description: Pisum sativum (pea) long non-coding RNA (PSAT_LNC022490)
Source: RNAcentral
AGUGCAAGUGCGGGAAAUAAAUAAAAGUAGUGCGAGUGCGGGAAAAUUAAUAAAAGUAGUGCGAGUACGGAAAAUAAAUAAAGUAGUGCGAGUGCGAGAAAUAAAUAAAGUAAAGACAGUGCGGAAAAUAAAUGAAAGUAAAGACAGUGCGGGAAAAUAAAAUAGAUAAAGGCAAAGCAAUAAAAACCUGCUCCAAUCUAAGGGUUGAAUAAAAUGCGAAAUGGAAAUGAAAAUGGCGGCAGGAUU